GACGAACGCUGGCGGCGUGCUUAACACAUGCAAGUCGAACGGAAAGGCCCUGCUUUUGUGGGGUGUUCGAGUGGCGAACGGGUGAGUAUCACGUGUGUGACCUGCCCUUGAGUUUGGGAUAACUUCAGGAGACUGGGGCUAAUACCGGAUAGGAGCUCUUGCUGCAUGGUGGGGGUUGGAAAGUUUCGGGGGUUGGGGAUGGACACGUGGUCUAUCAGUUUGUUGGUGGGGUAGUGGCGUACCAAGGCUUUGAUGGGUUGCCGGCCAGCGAGGGUGACCGGCCACAUUGGGACAGAGGUACGGCCCGGACUGCUACGGGAGGCAGCAGUGGGGAAUAUUGCACGAUGGGCGGAAGCCGGAUGCAGCAACGCCGCGUGCGGGAAGACGGCCUUCGGGUUGUAAACCGCUUUCGCCUGGGACGAAGCGUGAGUGACGGUAAUGGGUAAAGAAGCACCGGCUAACUACGUG
This 468-nucleotide ribosomal RNA is filed under the name uncultured bacterium. RNAcentral describes it as "partial 16S ribosomal RNA". It matches the Rfam family "Bacterial small subunit ribosomal RNA", at positions 28 to 507 of the family's 1533-position model. The record is from RNAcentral.